CCUACGGGGGGCAGCAGUGAGGGAUAUUGCACAAUGGGGGAAACCCUGAUGCAGCGACGCCGCGUGGGUGAAGAAGCGCCUCGGCGCGUAAAGCCCUGUCAGCAGGGAAGAAAAUGACGGUACCUGAAGAAGAAGCCCCGGCUAACUACGUGCCAGCAGCCGCGGUAAUACGUAGGGGGCAAGCGUUAUCCGGAUUUACUGGGUGUAAAGGGGGCGCAGACGGCGAUGCAAGCGAGGAGUGAAAGCCCGGGGCCCAACCCCGGGACUGCUCUUGGAACUGCGUGGCUAGAGUGCAGGAGGGGCAGGCGGAAUUCGUGGUGUAGCGGUGAAAUGCGUAGAUAUCAGGAGGAACACCGGUGGCGAAGGCGGCCUGCUGGACUGCAACUGACGUUGAGGCCCGAAAGCGUGGGGAGCAAACAGGAUUAGAUACCCGGGUAGUC
This 440-nucleotide ribosomal RNA is filed under the name uncultured bacterium. RNAcentral describes it as "partial 16S ribosomal RNA". It matches the Rfam family "Bacterial small subunit ribosomal RNA", at positions 338 to 795 of the family's 1533-position model. The record is from RNAcentral.